Molecule: long non-coding RNA, 935 nt
Organism: Chenopodium quinoa (quinoa)
Lineage: Eukaryota; Viridiplantae; Streptophyta; Magnoliopsida; Caryophyllales; Amaranthaceae
Exons: 2
Source: RefSeq, a predicted model, not a curated record
UUAACAAAGACCCUAUAUUAGGGACAACAUGUCUCUCUUGUUUUUUUUUUAAAAAAAAUAAAAUAAAAAGGAGAGACCUGUGUUUUUACAUAAAUGAUCUCCCAUUUUAUUUAAAAAAAAUAAAACAAAAUUUAAUUUUGGAGAGACUUGUGGUGUUGCUUAACCGGUCUCCAUUGUUUCCAAAAAUAUAAUAUAUGAACUAAACCCAAUUUUUUUUUUUAGUUCAAUCCGCCUCCACGCCUCCAUUCCCUCUAUCUCCUUCUCUGUUACCCUCAAACUCUUUAUUCCUCUCUUCGUCAACGAUUUCAUUCAAUUUCAAUUCCAUCGUCCAUUUCUCGUCUCAAUUCAUCUUUUACUUUAAAUCUAAAUUUUCGAUGUUUAUCAUUUUAUUCUACCUCGGUACUAUAGAAAUUGCUUAGAUCUUUCAAUUGGUCUUCAUAGAUAAACGAAUGGAGCUUCAAAAGUAGCUUUAAUGGCGUUCGAAGCUUCUCCUCUCGAUUUGCUGAGUCGUCUUUGAGAAAGAAUAGAUCGUCAUGGCCAGAAUAUGAUCUGCUAUUUGGCGACUUCACGACAACUCACUUCUAAUUUCAAUGAUAUACCAUUGUUUAGCACUAAGAACAGUUGGUAUUGAUGCUGAUGACAAUUGAUUGAGCUAUUCAUGUCCCAAGUGAGCGUGCGGCAAGAAUAUUAUAGAACUUGUUGCUGCUGGUGGGGGAAAGUUGGACUCUGCUAUUGGUGGUUUUGUGCUGCUGCAAGUGUUACUUCAGCUGCAGCGCUAAAAGAGGAGAUAGUGGAAGAAGCAGUAGUAGUUAUAGGAUUUAUUAUUAGUUGAUUGAAACAUUGGAGAUAUUUUGUGAAACGAAUUAGAUAAAAGAAUGUUGGAUUUCGAUCUUGGAAUGUUAUUUUCCCUUAAUUAUCAAGCUACUUUGCAAUUA